RNAcentral lists this ribosomal RNA (497 nucleotides) under uncultured bacterium. RNAcentral's name for it is "partial 16S ribosomal RNA". It matches the Rfam family "Bacterial small subunit ribosomal RNA", at positions 28 to 507 of the family's 1533-position model. The record is from RNAcentral.
GAUGAACGCUGGCGGCGUGCCUAAUACAUGCAAGUCGAGCGAACAGACGAGGAGCUUGCUCCUCUGACGUUAGCGGCGGACGGGUGAGUAACACGUGGAUAACCUACCUAUAAGACUGGGAUAACUUCGGGAAACCGGAGCUAAUACCGGAUAAUAUAUUGAACCGCAUGGUCCAAUAGUGAAAGACGGUUUUGCUGUCACUUAUAGAUGGAUCCGCGCCGCAUUAGCUAGUUGGUAAGGUAACGGCUUACCAAGGCGACGAUGCGUAGCCGACCUGAGAGGGUGAUCGGCCACACUGGAACUGAGACACGGUCCAGACUCCUACGGGAGGCAGCAGUAGGGAAUCUUCCGCAAUGGGCGAAAGCCUGACGGAGCAACGCCGCGUGAGUGAUGAAGGUCUUCGGAUCGUAAAACUCUGUUAUUAGGGAAGACCAAAUGUGUAAGUAACUAUGCACGUCUUGACGGUACCUAAUCAGGAAGCCACGGCUAACUACGUG